GUGAACGCUGGCGGUAGGCCUAACACAUGCCAGUCGAACGGCAGCACAGUAAGAGCUUGCUCUUACGGGUGGCGAGUGGCGGACGGGUGAGGAAUACAUCGGAAUCUACUUUUUCGUGGGGGAUAACGUAGGGAAACUUACGCUAAUACCGCAUACGACCUACGGGUGAAAGAAGGGGAUCUUCGGACCUUGCGCGAUUGAAUGAGCCGAUGUCGGAUUAGCUAGUUGGCGGGGUAAAGGCCCACCACGGCGACGAUCCGUAGCUGGUCUGAGAGGAUGAUCAGCCACACUGGAACUGAGACACGGUCCAGACUCCUACGGGAGGCAGCAGUGGGGAAUAGUGGACAAUGGGCGCAAGCCUGAUCCAGCCAUACCGCGUGGGUGAAGAAGGCCUUCGGGUUGUAAAGCCCUUUUGUUGGGAAAGAAAAGCAGCAGGUUAAUACCCCGCUGUUCUGACGGUGCCCAAAGAAGAAGCACCGGCUAACUUCGUG
This 491-nucleotide ribosomal RNA is filed under the name uncultured bacterium. Its description in RNAcentral is "partial 16S ribosomal RNA". It matches the Rfam family "Bacterial small subunit ribosomal RNA", at positions 29 to 507 of the family's 1533-position model. The record is from RNAcentral.